Molecule: non-coding RNA, 21 nt
Filed under: Caenorhabditis elegans
Lineage: Eukaryota; Metazoa; Nematoda; Chromadorea; Rhabditida; Rhabditidae
Source: RNAcentral
AUGAGAUAGAAAUUUUUUUAU